GACGAACGCUGGCGGCGUGCUUAACACAUGCAAGUCGAGCGGUAAGGCCCUUUCGGGGGUACGACGAGCGGCGAACGGGUGAGUAACACGUGGGUGACCUGCCCUUACGCUCUGGGAUAAGCCUGGGAAACUGGGUCUAAUACCGGAUAUGACUCCAUGACGCAUGUUGUGGGGUGGAAAGCCUUGUGCGGCUAGGGAUGGGCCUGCGGCCU
This 212-nucleotide ribosomal RNA is filed under the name uncultured bacterium. Its description in RNAcentral is "partial 16S ribosomal RNA". It matches the Rfam family "Bacterial small subunit ribosomal RNA", at positions 28 to 239 of the family's 1533-position model. The record is from RNAcentral.